This 2898-nucleotide ribosomal RNA is filed under the name Escherichia coli. RNAcentral describes it as "23S ribosomal RNA". It matches the Rfam family "Bacterial large subunit ribosomal RNA". Lineage: Bacteria; Pseudomonadati; Pseudomonadota; Gammaproteobacteria; Enterobacterales; Enterobacteriaceae. The record is from RNAcentral.
GGUUAAGCGACUAAGCGUACACGGUGGAUGCCCUGGCAGUCAGAGGCGAUGAAGGACGUGCUAAUCUGCGAUAAGCGUCGGUAAGGUGAUAUGAACCGUUAUAACCGGCGAUUUCCGAAUGGGGAAACCCAGUGUGUUUCGACACACUAUCAUUAACUGAAUCCAUAGGUUAAUGAGGCGAACCGGGGGAACUGAAACAUCUAAGUACCCCGAGGAAAAGAAAUCAACCGAGAUUCCCCCAGUAGCGGCGAGCGAACGGGGAGCAGCCCAGAGCCUGAAUCAGUGUGUGUGUUAGUGGAAGCGUCUGGAAAGGCGCGCGAUACAGGGUGACAGCCCCGUACACAAAAAUGCACAUGCUGUGAGCUCGAUGAGUAGGGCGGGACACGUGGUAUCCUGUCUGAAUAUGGGGGGACCAUCCUCCAAGGCUAAAUACUCCUGACUGACCGAUAGUGAACCAGUACCGUGAGGGAAAGGCGAAAAGAACCCCGGCGAGGGGAGUGAAAAGAACCUGAAACCGUGUACGUACAAGCAGUGGGAGCACGCUUAGGCGUGUGACUGCGUACCUUUGUAUAAUGGGUCAGCGACUUAUAUUCUGUAGCAAGGUUAACCGAAUAGGGGAGCCGAAGGGAAACCGAGUCUUAACUGGGCGUUAAGUUGCAGGGUAUAGACCCGAAACCCGGUGAUCUCAGCCAUGGGCAGGUUGAAGGUUGGGUAACACUAACUGGAGGACCGAACCGACUAAUGUUGAAAAAUUAGCGGAUGACUUGUGGCUGGGGUGAAAGGCCAAUCAAACCGGGAGAUAGCUGGUUCUCCCCGAAAGCUAUUUAGGUAGCGCCUCGUGAAUUCAUCUCCGGGGUAGAGCACUGUUUCGGCAAGGGGUCAUCCCGACUUACCAACCCGAUGCAAACUGCGAAUACCGGAGAAUGUUAUCACGGGAGACACACGGCGGGUGCUAACGUCCGUCGUGAAGAGGGAAACAACCCAGACCGCCAGCUAAGGUCCCAAAGUCAUGGUUAAGUGGGAAACGAUGUGGAAGGCCCAGACAGCCGGGAUGUUGGCUUAGAAGCAGCCAUCAUUUAAAGAAAGCGUAAUAGCUCACUGGUCGAGUCGGCCUGCGCGGAAGAUGUAACGGGCUAAACCAUGCACCGAAGCUGCGGCAGCGACGCUGAUGCGUUGUUGGGUAGGGGAGCGUUCUGUAAGCCUGCGAAGGUGUGCUGUGAGGCAUGCUGGAGGUAUCAGAAGUGCGAAUGCUGACAUAAGUAACGAUAAAGCGGGUGAAAAGCCCGCUCGCCGGAAGACCAAGGGUUCCUGUCCAACGUUAAUCGGGGCAGGGUGAGUCGACCCCUAAGGCGAGGCCGAAAGGCGUAGUCGAUGGGAAACAGGUUAAUAUUCCUGUACUUGGUGUUACUGCGAAGGGGGGACGGAGAAGGCUAUGUUGGCCGGGCGACGGUUGUCCCGGUUUAAGCGUGUAGGCUGGUUUUCCAGGCAAAUCCGGAAAAUCAAGGCUGAGGCGUGAUGACGAGGCACUACGGUGCUGAAGCAACAAAUGCCCUGCUUCCAGGAAAAGCCUCUAAGCAUCAGGUAACAUCAAAUCGUACCCCAAACCGACACAGGUGGUCAGGUAGAGAAUACCAAGGCGCUUGAGAGAACUCGGGUGAAGGAACUAGGCAAAAUGGUGCCGUAACUUCGGGAGAAGGCACGCUGAUAUGUAGGUGAGGUCCCUCGCGGAUGGAGCUGAAAUCAGUCGAAGAUACCAGCUGGCUGCAACUGUUUAUUAAAAACACAGCACUGUGCAAACACGAAAGUGGACGUAUACGGUGUGACGCCUGCCCGGUGCCGGAAGGUUAAUUGAUGGGGUUAGCGCAAGCGAAGCUCUUGAUCGAAGCCCCGGUAAACGGCGGCCGUAACUAUAACGGUCCUAAGGUAGCGAAAUUCCUUGUCGGGUAAGUUCCGACCUGCACGAAUGGCGUAAUGAUGGCCAGGCUGUCUCCACCCGAGACUCAGUGAAAUUGAACUCGCUGUGAAGAUGCAGUGUACCCGCGGCAAGACGGAAAGACCCCGUGAACCUUUACUAUAGCUUGACACUGAACAUUGAGCCUUGAUGUGUAGGAUAGGUGGGAGGCUUGGAAGUGUGGACGCCAGUCUGCAUGGAGCCGACCUUGAAAUACCACCCUUUAAUGUUUGAUGUUCUAACGUUGACCCGUAAUCCGGGUUGCGGACAGUGUCUGGUGGGUAGUUUGACUGGGGCGGUCUCCUCCUAAAGAGUAACGGAGGAGCACGAAGGUUGGCUAAUCCUGGUCGGACAUCAGGAGGUUAGUGCAAUGGCAUAAGCCAGCUUGACUGCGAGCGUGACGGCGCGAGCAGGUGCGAAAGCAGGUCAUAGUGAUCCGGUGGUUCUGAAUGGAAGGGCCAUCGCUCAACGGAUAAAAGGUACUCCGGGGAUAACAGGCUGAUACCGCCCAAGAGUUCAUAUCGACGGCGGUGUUUGGCACCUCGAUGUCGGCUCAUCACAUCCUGGGGCUGAAGUAGGUCCCAAGGGUAUGGCUGUUCGCCAUUUAAAGUGGUACGCGAGCUGGGUUUAGAACGUCGUGAGACAGUUCGGUCCCUAUCUGCCGUGGGCGCUGGAGAACUGAGGGGGGCUGCUCCUAGUACGAGAGGACCGGAGUGGACGCAUCACUGGUGUUCGGGUUGUCAUGCCAAUGGCACUGCCCGGUAGCUAAAUGCGGAAGAGAUAAGUGCUGAAAGCAUCUAAGCACGAAACUUGCCCCGAGAUGAGUUCUCCCUGACCCUUUAAGGGUCCUGAAGGAACGUUGAAGACGACGACGUUGAUAGGCCGGGUGUGUAAGCGCAGCGAUGCGUUGAGCUAACCGGUACUAAUGAACCGUGAGGCUUAACCUU